UACGAAGGGGGCUAGCGGUGUUGGGAAUUACUGGGCGUAAAGCGCGCGCAGGUGGUGCGGCAAGUGACAGGUGAAAGCCCUCGGCUCAACCGAGGAACUGCCUGUCAUACUGCUGCGCUUGAGGCCGGGAGGGGGAAGCGGAAUUCCUGGUGUAGCGGUGAAAUGCGUAGAUACCAGGAGGAACACCGGUGGCGAAGGCGGCUUCCUGGACCGGUUCUGACACUCAUGCGCGAAAGCGUGGGGAGCAAACAGG
This 253-nucleotide ribosomal RNA is filed under the name uncultured bacterium. RNAcentral's name for it is "partial 16S ribosomal RNA". It matches the Rfam family "Bacterial small subunit ribosomal RNA", at positions 524 to 776 of the family's 1533-position model. The record is from RNAcentral.